Molecule: ribosomal RNA, 253 nt
Filed under: uncultured bacterium
Lineage: Bacteria
Description: partial 16S ribosomal RNA
Rfam family: Bacterial small subunit ribosomal RNA
Source: RNAcentral
UACGUGAGGGGCGAACGUUGUUCGGUGUCACUGGGCUUAAAGGGCGCGUAGGUGGCUGCGUAAGUAAGGUGUGAAAGCCCUCGGCUUACCCGGGGAAUUGCGCCUUAUACUGCGCGGCUUGAGGAUUUCAGGGGAAGGGGGAACUCCGAGUGUAGCGGUGAAAUGCGCAGAUAUUCGGGGGAAGGCCGGCGGCGAAGGCGCCCUUCUGGGAAAUUCCUGACACUGAGGCGCGAAAGCGUGGGGAGCAAACAGG